This 1604-nucleotide long non-coding RNA is filed under the name Triticum aestivum (bread wheat). RNAcentral's name for it is "long non-coding RNA (TAES_LNC018802)". Lineage: Eukaryota; Viridiplantae; Streptophyta; Magnoliopsida; Poales; Poaceae. The record is from RNAcentral.
UCUGUGUGUGAGAAGACAGGUCAGACCGCUCCGCCGAUGCCAGUGAUUGCUCCUGGGACCACGGUGAGUUUUAUUUGAAUUGACAUUACUUGCUAGUCUUAACAUUUGAGUGUCAUCAUGCUAACAAGACAUUGGAAAUGAUCUUUGGUGCAGCGUAACUCCAGACAAGCAUCGCACGAUCCUUCUCCAGCUACCGACACGAGCCACCCCGCUCCUACACCUCCUGGAUCUUGGUAAGUUUAUCUAGUGUUUUGCUUAACACAUGCAUAAAGACCUAGACUUAGCUUUAUUUCCUCCAAUGCUUACCAUAAUGACCUAGACUUAGCUUCUUCUCCUCCAAAAUGACUUAAUAAGCUUACUGACCUCCAAAACCAUCCAUUUUACCUAAGUUAGCUCUAAAACGAUCUGUACUUAGCUUACUUAUGUCAAAAAUUGCAUAAUUAGCUUAGUUAGCUCAUAGACGAUUCAUUUUACCUAAGUUAGCUCCAAAAUGACCCAUCUUACCUAGGUUAGCUUAUAAAUGAUCCAGUUUAUCCAAGUUAGCUCUAAAAUGACCCAAUUUACCUAGAGUAGCUCCUAAACGAUCCAUUUCACCUAAGUUAGCUAAAAACGAUCCAUUUCACCUAAAUUAGCUCUUAAAUGAUCCAUUUCACCUAAGUUUGCUCAAAAACGAUCCAUUUCACCUAAAUUAGCUCUUAAAUGAUCCAUUUCGCCUAAGUUUGCUCAAAAAUGAUCCAUUUCACCUUAGUUAGCUCAAAAACGAUCCAUUUCACCUAAAUUAGCUCUUAAAUGAUCCAUUUCACCUAAGUUUGCUAAAAAACGAUCCAUUUCACCUUAGUUAGCUCAAAAACGAUCCAUUUCACCUUAGUUAGUUCAGAAACGUGGCAUUUCACCUUAGUUAGCUCAUAAAUGACCCAUUUCAACUAAGUUAGCUCAAAAACGAUCCAUUUUACCUUAGUUAGCUCAAAAACGAUUCAUUUCACCUUAGUUAGCUCAAAAACGAUCCAUUUCACCUUAGUUAGCUCAAAAAUGAUGCCCUUCACCUUAGUUAGCUCAUAAACGACCCAUUUCAACUAUGUUAGCUCAUAAAUGAUACAUUCCAACUAAGUUAGCUCAUAAACAACCCAUUUCAACUUAGUUAGCUCAUAAAUGAUCCAUUCCACCUAAGUUAGCUCAUAAAUGAUCCAUUCCACCUAAGUUAGGUCAUAAAUGACAUAUACUUCUUGUUAUAGUCUUCUUCUUGUUCUAUUCACCAAUUUCUAACUUCACAUUUACCAUUUUGCAGAUUUCACUCACUUCAUGGAAGCUAGCUUGCUAGGAUGGAGUGCUUGCUUUUUCUUUGUUAAAACUUUGCAUUGUAUCUAGCUUGCUAUGAUAGAACUUGCUAUGUUGAUGAAACUUUGCUAUGUAAUAUGUAUAUGGAACAAUGUGUAUGGAUGGAACUUGUUAUAUAUGUUGAUGAAACUUUGCUAUGUUAUAUAUAUGUAUAUGGAAUUAUGUGCUGGAUAUGUGAUAUGUGUGCUGGAUAUGUUUGUUGUUAAAUAUGUGAUAUAUUUGCUGUGAAAAUUGUUGGAUUAAGAAAAAACAGAAAAAAAAGAGACAAU